Molecule: non-coding RNA, 155 nt
Filed under: uncultured Romboutsia sp.
Lineage: Bacteria; Bacillati; Bacillota; Clostridia; Peptostreptococcales; Peptostreptococcaceae
Source: RNAcentral
AGUAUUAGGUGUCGAUUAGACUUAAUAGGGAAUUAGAUGUAAAUUCUAAGCUACCCCAGUAACCGUAAAACUGACGAAAUCUUAAAAACCACUGAGCAAUUGGGAAGGUAGGAGAGUAGAAUGAAGUUGAGCCGGGAUACCUGCCAAUAACUUAA